Molecule: transfer RNA, 419 nt
Filed under: Mobiluncus mulieris
Lineage: Bacteria; Bacillati; Actinomycetota; Actinomycetes; Actinomycetales; Actinomycetaceae
Description: tmRNA*AHREFRRWFGSWGWPVSWQWPA*
Rfam family: tRNA (bases 20-92)
Source: RNAcentral
UAUACUGGUUGAGCACUUCGGGGCAUUGGCGCAGUUGGUAGCGCGCUUCCAUGGCAUGGAAGAGGUCAGGGGUUCGAAUCCCCUAUGCUCCACCGGACAGACAAAACCGCAGGUCAGAGCGUAUUCAGGGUUGCGAAAUUGGGGUUAAAACUACCCAAAAACCACCUAAAAUUAUGGGGGUGUUCGUGGCGAGACGGGCUGCGGUGGAGGCAACUUCUACCAGCUUCAAAGCGGAGGGAAAACCCGGAUUGGUUCAGUUGCCCACCGAGAAUUUCGACGCUGGUUCGGGUCGUGGGGAUGGCCAGUUUCGUGGCAGUGGCCUGCAUAACAUGUUCGACAUAUUGAAUGUUCUCAUUCCCCGGGGUGAGUGGUUUGAAAAACCGAUACGACUACUAAAAACUCAAAAUCAACACUUUUGU